AGUUUGAUCAUGGCUCAGGAUGAACGCUAGCGGCGAGCUUAACACAUGCAAGUCGAGGGGCAACAUGAAAUGUUUUAUUACAUUUUGAUGGCGACCGGCAAACGGGUGAGUAAUACAUAUGUAAUCUACUUUUUUCUAGAGAAUAGCCUGAGGAAACUCGGAUUAAUACUCUAUAAUAUAUUUUAUCAUAAGAUAAUUUAUUAAAGUUUUUAACGGAAAAAAAGGAGCGUAUGUCCGAUUAGCUAGUUGGUAAGAUAAUAGCUUACCAAGGCAAUUAUCGGUAGGGGGCCUGAGAGGGUGUACCCCCACACUGGUACUGAGACACGGACCAGACUCCUACGGGAGGCAGCAGUGAGGAAUAUUAGUCAAUGGAGGCAACUCUGAACUAGCUACGCCGCGUGCAGGAAGACGAUUCGAAGAAUUGUAAACUGCUUUUGUUAGGGAAUAAAAAAUUUUAUUCGUAAAAUAUUGAAUGUACCUAACGAAUAAGUAUCGGCUAACUCCGUGCCAGCAGCCGCGGUAAUACGGGGGAUACAAGCGUUAUCCGGAUUUAUUGGGUUUAAGGGUGCGUAGGUGGUUUAUUAAGUCAUUAAUGAAAUUUUGCAGCUUAACUGUUAAAAGUGUUAUUGAAACUGAUAAACUUGAGUAAUAUUGGAGUAGCUGGAAUGUGUGGUGUAGCGGUGGAAUGCAUAGAUAUCACACAGAACACCAAUCGCGAAGGCAGGUUACUAAAUAUAUACUGACACUGAGGCACGAAAGCGUGGGGAGCAAAUAGGAUUAGAUACCCUAGUAGUCCACGCUGUAAACGAUGAUCACUAGUUGUUGGAUUUUUUUUUUAAUAAUUCAGUGACUAAGCGAAAGUGAUAAGUGAUCCACCUGGGGAGUACGAUCGCAAGAUUGAAACUCAAAGGAAUUGACGGGGGCCCGCACAAGCGGUGGAGCAUGUGGUUUAAUUCGAUGAUACGCGAGGAACCUUACCAAGGUUUGAAUGUAUUAUGAAUAAAAUGGAAACAUUUUAGUUCUUCGGACAUAAUACAAGGUGCUGCAUGGUUGUCGUCAGCUCGUGCCGUGAGGUGUAAGGUUAAGUCCUUUAACGAGCGCAACCCCUAUUAUUAGUUACCAUCAGUUUGGCUGGGGACUCUAAUAAAACUGCCUACGUAAGUUGUGAGGAAGGUGGGGACGACGUCAAAUCAUCACGGCCUUUAUAUCUUGGGCUACACACGUGCUACAAUGGUUAGUCCAAUGGGCUGCUACUAAGUAAUUAGAUGCAAAUCUCUAAAGCUAAUCUCAGUUCGGAUUGGAGUCUGCAACUCGACUCUAUAAAGUUGGAAUCGCUAGUAAUCGCGCAUCAGCAAUGGCGCGGUGAAUACGUUCCCGGGCCUUGUACACACCGCCCGUCAAGCCAUGGAAGUCGGUGGUACCUGAAGUUGGUGACCAUAACAGGAACUACCUAAGGUAAAAUCGAUAACUGGGGCUAAGUCGUAACAAGGUAGCCGUAC
This 1499-nucleotide ribosomal RNA is filed under the name Flavobacteriales endosymbiont of Oryzaephilus surinamensis. RNAcentral describes it as "bacterial SSU rRNA". It matches the Rfam family "Bacterial small subunit ribosomal RNA". The record is from RNAcentral. Lineage: Bacteria; Pseudomonadati; Bacteroidota; Flavobacteriia; Flavobacteriales.